GAGAUUUUUGAAAAGAAGAUGGACGCCAUUAAAGUACAUCGUGGGAUAGUAAAAGGGUCAGCAAAAUGCUCAUCAAUGUCCAGUACCAUGGAGAAAAAAGUACCUCAAACUGCAGCCUGGUUUUUCCUUUCAAAGUUUAAUUCGAGAAGGCACAUCAAUCCACUGGUGCAAAAGAAGAGAACACCUCUGCCAUAGGAGAUUCAGCAGAAAAAGGCCAAACAGAUGGUCCAGGAGGUUCUGGAGAAGAGUUAAAUGGGAGAGGAAAUAAUGGAGGAGUAUAGUAGAGCACCUUGACACACUG
Long non-coding RNA from Alosa alosa (allis shad), 301 nucleotides. RefSeq lists it as uncharacterized. The record is from RefSeq and is a predicted model, not a curated record. The transcript is spliced from 4 exons. NCBI's taxonomy places the organism in Eukaryota, Metazoa, Chordata, Actinopteri, Clupeiformes, Clupeidae.